GGAAUAUUGCACAAUGGGCGCAAGCCUGAUGCAGCGACGCCGCGUGUGUGAAGAAGGCCUGCGGGUUGUAAAGCACUUUUAGUGGGGAUGAAAAGCACAUUGCUAAUACCAGUGUGUCUUGACCUAACCCAAAGAAAAAGCAACGGCUAACUCUGUCCCAGCGGCCGCGGUAAUACAGAGGGUGCGCGCGUUAAUCGGAAUUACUGGGCGUAAAGCGUGCGUAGACGGUUAUUUAAGUCGGAUGUGAAAGCCCCGGGCUCAACCUGGGAAUUGCAUUCGAGACUGAAUAGCUAGGGUACGGUAGAGGGAAGUGGAAUUUCCGGUGUAGCGGUGAAAUGCGUAGAUAUCGGAAGGAACAUCAGUGGCGAAAGCGACUUCCUGGACCAGUACCGACGUUCAGGCACGAAAGCGUGGGGAGCAA
Molecule: ribosomal RNA, 421 nt
Filed under: uncultured bacterium
Lineage: Bacteria
Description: bacterial SSU rRNA
Rfam family: Bacterial small subunit ribosomal RNA
Source: RNAcentral